GAGGCUCAAAGAGAGCUGGGCAUCAUGUCCCAGAAGGUCAAAGAGGUGGAGGAGAGAGAAAAAGCAAGAGAUGACUGAAUCCAAGCCACAGAGACCCACCUUGAGACCCUUACACAGCAGGUCCAGAGCAUGCACAGAGCGAUGGCUUCAAUGGAGACUCGGCACAGACGCCGGAAUAUCAGGAUAAGAGGCAUCCCAGAAGAGGUCAGUGGAGACGCAUUGUUACACUAUAC
Pelobates cultripes (western spadefoot toad) is the source of this 233-nucleotide non-coding RNA. The record is from the annotation of a GenBank genome assembly. Lineage: Eukaryota; Metazoa; Chordata; Amphibia; Anura; Pelobatidae.